This is a long non-coding RNA of Pristis pectinata (smalltooth sawfish), 145 nucleotides long. RefSeq lists it as uncharacterized. The record is from RefSeq and is a predicted model, not a curated record. Lineage: Eukaryota; Metazoa; Chordata; Chondrichthyes; Rhinopristiformes; Pristidae. The transcript has 4 exons.
AGCUAAAGCUACUGAAGAAGAAGCCUCAGAUAAAUCUGCAAAAAAGAAAGUAACAGAACCAAUGAAACAGAAAUCUGCAGCUUCUGCUAUAGCAAAGAAAGAACCAAUGAAACAGAAAGCUACAGCUCCUGAUACAGCAAAGAAA